GCUAAAAAAAUUCCACCCAAAAUUCAUGCCCAAAUCUCUCUCUCUCUCUCUCUCUCUCUCUCUCAAAUUUCCUCCAUUUUCCCUCUCUUCCAUCAAUCUCUAACAUCCUGAUCCUCCUCGGCCUCACACACCCCCAAAUCAACUCAUCUCAAACCCCAAUUCAAGCAAGACCCCUGUCCCAGAGAACGCAAAAUCCAGCCCUAGGAGAAUCUCCGGCAAUUCCAUCUGAAUCUCCAACCAUUCCACCAAAUUUGACUUUGAUCUUUGGAGAAGACUGCGAGACUGCGGAAGUUUCCAAAGCUCGAACCAAAGACAUUGUUGUUGCAACUGUCCGUGGAUUUAAUGGCAAACCAAUCUCAGUUUUGGACGGAGUUCCAAUUGCUAUCAAGGAUGAGAUAGAUUGCAUGCCCUAUCCAACUACAGGUGAUCUCAUUUUUGAGUCGAGUUUUAAAACUAUGUUUUUAAAUAUUUUAGGGCUUUUAUGAGGCAUGGCAUCAAGUUUGAGCUAGUUUACUAUGGAGGCUAUUGUUUCUUUUGGAACUUAGAAAUAGGUGGUGAACUAUCAUUGUAGUAUAGUCUACUAAAAGGUGGAAACCAACUGGUGCAAAAUCAGUUCUAGAAUUCUGCUGGUUUAAAGGUAUUUCUCUUGAUUGGGGUUUAAGCCUCAGAAAAAUUAACUCCUGGUGGCACGUGUUUUGUUUAAUGGUAUUUCUCUUGAUUUAAUGGUCUCAUGCAACUAGCUUUCAACAGUAAG
Molecule: long non-coding RNA, 754 nt
Organism: Magnolia sinica
Lineage: Eukaryota; Viridiplantae; Streptophyta; Magnoliopsida; Magnoliales; Magnoliaceae
Exons: 3
Source: RefSeq, a predicted model, not a curated record